Non-coding RNA from Paramuricea clavata, 369 nucleotides. NCBI's taxonomy places the organism in Eukaryota, Metazoa, Cnidaria, Anthozoa, Malacalcyonacea, Plexauridae. The record is from the annotation of a GenBank genome assembly.
GACUAAGAGAAGCAGAGAUUGUAUAUAUCCAAGAACAAAUAAAAUAAAGUAAAGGAGAAAGUAACUGCAUUUGGAAAACUAUACUUCAAUGUUUGCCAUCUGGAGAUUCUAAUAGACCCACAUACACCAAAGAUGCCACUGUAGUUGUAGAAGAAUUCAACGACUUGUUUACAACCAUGGGAAUGAAGAUUACCCAAUUAGCUAAAGAUAUAGCAACCUCGUACCCAGGGCUAGCCGCGAAUUGAAGGCGGCGGCGUAGCCCUGGUAAACGCUGGUCACGUGACUCCAACAUUACGUAAUUGUUACUUUUCUCAACCGGGGGGGUGAAUGCUAGGUGAAACUCGAAGACAAACAGUUUUUAUCUCCGCA